CGUGAGCGUAGCGCAGGAGCGGGGUGCGCGUCGGCGGAGGCCCCGGAGCGCGCGCGGCGAAGUGACCGUGUGUUGAGAGCGCAGGGCCGGUGUGGCUGAGUCGGGCCUGCGCCUGUGGGAAGCAUACUUACCUGGCAGGGGAGAUACCAUGAUCAAGCAGGUGGUUUUCCCAGGGCGAGGCCCACCCAUUGCACUUGGGGUGUGCUGACCCCUGCGAUUUCCCCAAAUGCGGGAAACUCGACUGCAUAAUUUGUGAUACCAUGAUCAAGUAGGUGGUUUUCCCAGGGCGAGGCCCACCCAUUGCACUUGGGGUGUGCUGACCCCUGCGAUUUCCCCAAAUGCGGGAAACUCGACUGCAUAAUUUGUGUUAGUGGGGGACUGCGUUCGCGCUCUCCCCUGGUAUUCUUGUUGCAAAGAAAGUCUUGUACUCAUCUUGCGCUUAGCCUUACUUUUUCUGUAAUGAUUGUAGUUGACCCGCAGAGGAGGUUAAGUGUCUCUUCUCACCCCGUUUCUUCCCCCACCCCAAGCUUUUCCUUACUUUUUCCUUAGUUAUUACUAAAGUUUUAUUGAGCUAUGUGAUUUUAUUCUUUAAAGGUCUCAAGUCCUCUUCAAAUCUAAAGAUUGCCAUUUUUCCGGGACCCUGCCUUCGAUUGUUUCAAUGGAUAUGUUAGUUAUCUUCUAUAGACACCCUUCCCGGGGUCUCCCCUUCCCGAAGUCAGGCUGCCCCCCCCCCCAUCUCCAUUUUGUCCCCGAGUGAGACAAAAGAACCGAGAACCCUUCCUUCUCAGAGAACAUAAGAUUCUGGUGGCUGAGGCCCCAAAUUCAGUUGCCCGAAAGGUCACC
This 843-nucleotide long non-coding RNA is filed under the name Cricetulus griseus (Chinese hamster). RNAcentral describes it as "lncRNA (ENSCGRG00015039313.1)". The stretch from base 124 to 260 matches the Rfam family "U1 spliceosomal RNA". The record is from RNAcentral. Lineage: Eukaryota; Metazoa; Chordata; Mammalia; Rodentia; Cricetidae.